RNAcentral lists this ribosomal RNA (450 nucleotides) under uncultured bacterium. RNAcentral's name for it is "partial 16S ribosomal RNA". It matches the Rfam family "Bacterial small subunit ribosomal RNA", at positions 354 to 796 of the family's 1533-position model. The record is from RNAcentral.
GUGGGGAAUAUUCCGCAAUGGACGAAAGUCUGACGGAGCAACGCCGCGUGAGUGAUGAAGGUUUUCGGACUGUAAAGCUCUGUUGUUUAGGACGUAAGUGCCUGUUGCAAAUAGUUACAGGUAUUGACGGUACUGAACGAGGAAGCCACGGCUAACUACGUGCCAGCAGCCGCGGUAAUACGUAGGUGGCAAGCGUUGUCCGGAAUUAUUGGGCGUAAAGAGCAUGUAGGCGGGAAUCUAAGUCUGUUGUGAAAAUGCGGGGCUCAACCCCGUAUUGCGAUGGAAACUGGGUUUCUUGAGUGCAGGAGAGGAAAGGGGAAUUCCCAGUGUAGCGGUGAAAUGCGUAGAUAUUGGGAGGAACACCAGUGGCGAAGGCGCCUUUCUGGACUGUGUCUGACGCUGAGAUGCGAAAGCCAGGGUAGCGAACGGGAUUAGAUACCCUAGUAGUCC